This 329-nucleotide ribosomal RNA is filed under the name uncultured eukaryote. RNAcentral describes it as "partial 18S ribosomal RNA". It matches the Rfam family "Eukaryotic small subunit ribosomal RNA", at positions 1470 to 1796 of the family's 1831-position model. The record is from RNAcentral.
CCCUUAGAUGUUCUGGGCCGCACGCUCGCUACACUGACGAUGGCAACGAGUUUUUCCUUCGCCGAAAGGUGUGGGUAAUCUUUUGAAACAUCGUCGUGCUGGGGAUAGAUCAUUGCAAUUUUUGAUCUUGAACGAGGAAUUCCUAGUAAGCGCGAGUCAUCAGCUCGCGUUGAUUACGUCCCUGCCCUUUGUACACACCGCCCGUCGCUACUACCGAUUGAAUGGUUUAGUGAGGACUCCUGAUUGGCGCCGCCGCCCCGGCAACGGAGCAGCGGACUGCCGAAAAGUUGUUCAAACUUGAUCAUUUAGAGGAAGUAAAAGUCGUAACA